GAUGAACGCUGGCGGCGUGCCUAAUACAUGCAAGUCGAGCGAACAGACGAGGAGCUUGCUCCUCUUACGUUAGCGGCGGACGGGGGAGUAACACGUGGAUAACCUACCUAUAAGACUGGGAGAACUUCGGGAAACCGGAGCUAAUACCGGAUAAUAUAUUGAACCGCAUGGUUCAAUAGUGAAAGACGGUUUUGCUGUCACUUAUAGAUGGAUCCGCGCCGCAUUAGCUAGUUGGUAAGGUAACGGCUUACCAAGGCAACGAUGCGUAGCCGACCUGAGAGGGUGAUCGGCAACACUGGAACGGAGCCACGGUCCAGACUCCUACGGGAGGCAGCAGUAGGGAAUCUUCGGAAAUGGGCGAAAGCCUGACGGAGCACCGCCGCGUGAGUGAUGAAGCUCUUCGGAUCGUAAAACUCUGUUAUUAGGGAAGAACAAAUGUGUAAGUAACUAUGCACGUAUUGACGGUACCUAAUCAGAAAGCCACGGCUAACUACGUG
RNAcentral lists this ribosomal RNA (497 nucleotides) under uncultured bacterium. RNAcentral describes it as "partial 16S ribosomal RNA". It matches the Rfam family "Bacterial small subunit ribosomal RNA", at positions 28 to 507 of the family's 1533-position model. The record is from RNAcentral.